This 462-nucleotide ribosomal RNA is filed under the name uncultured bacterium. RNAcentral describes it as "partial 16S ribosomal RNA". It matches the Rfam family "Bacterial small subunit ribosomal RNA", at positions 28 to 507 of the family's 1533-position model. The record is from RNAcentral.
GAUGAACGCUGACAGAAUGCUUAACACAUGCAAGUCGUUGGCGAAGCUGCGCUUGCGCAGUCUAGCCAAGGCGGACGGGUGAGUAACGCGUCAGGAACUUGACCUGCAGACAGGGAUAACAGACGGAAACGACUGAUAACACCUGGUAGUGUCAGGCUGGCGCAUGCCGGCCUGAUGAAAGGAGCCGCUGCAGGAGGGCCUUGCGUCCUAUUAGCUAGUUGGUGGGGUAACGGCCCACCAAGGCGAUGAUAGGUAGCCGGCCUGAGAGGGUGAACGGCCACAAGGGGACUGAGAUACGGCCCUUACUCCUACGGGAGGCAGCAGUGGGGAAUAUUGGACAAUGGGGGCAACCCUGAUCCAGCAAUUCUGUGUGCACGAAGAAGGUUUUCGGAUUGUAAAGUGCUUUCAGCAGGGAAGAAGAAAGUGACGGUACCUGCAGAAGAAGCGACGGCUAAAUACGUG